RNAcentral lists this ribosomal RNA (245 nucleotides) under uncultured bacterium. RNAcentral's name for it is "partial 16S ribosomal RNA". It matches the Rfam family "Bacterial small subunit ribosomal RNA", at positions 88 to 334 of the family's 1533-position model. The record is from RNAcentral.
AUGGCGACCGGCGCACGAGUGAGUAACACGUAUCCAACCUGCCGAUAACUCGGGGAUAGCCUUUCGAAAGAAAGAUUAAUACCCGAUGGUAUAAUCAGACCGCAUGGUUUGAUUAUUAAAGAAUUUCGGUUAUCGAUGGGGAUGCGUUCCAUUAGGCAGUUGGUGAGGUAACGGCUCACCAAACCUUCGAUGGAUAGGGGUUCUGAGAGGAAGGUCCCCCACAUUGGAACUGAGACACGGUCCAA